UCCUACGGGGGGCAGCAGUGGGGGAUAUUGCACAAUGGGGGGAACCCUGAUGCAGCGACGCCGCGUGGGCGAUGGAGUGCUUCGGCAUGUAAAGCCCUAUCAGCAGGGAAGAAAAUGACGGUACCUGACUAAGAAGCCCCGGCUAAAUACGUGCCAGCAGCCGCGGUAAUACGUAUGGGGCAAGCGUUAUCCGGAUUUACUGGGUGUAAAGGGAGCGUAGACGGAAUUGCAAGUCUGAUGUGAAAAUCCGGGGCCCAACCCCGGAAGUGCAUUGGAAACUGUAUUUCUAGAGUGUCGGAGAGGCA
RNAcentral lists this ribosomal RNA (305 nucleotides) under uncultured bacterium. RNAcentral's name for it is "bacterial SSU rRNA". It matches the Rfam family "Bacterial small subunit ribosomal RNA", at positions 337 to 659 of the family's 1533-position model. The record is from RNAcentral.